GACGAACGCUGGCGGCGUGCUUAACACAUGCAAGUCGAACGGAAAGGCCCUGCUUGCAGGGUCUUCGAGUGGCGAACGGGUGAGUCACACGUGGGUGAUCUGCCCUGCACUUCGGGAGAAGCCUGGGAAACUGGGUCUAAUACCGGAUAGGAGCCAUUUUUCGUGUGAUGGUUGGCAAGUUUUUUCGGUGUAGGAUGAGCUCGGGGCCUAUCAGCUUGUUGGUGGGGUAAUGGCCUACCAAGGCGGCGGCGGGGAGCCGGCCCGGGAGGGUGGACGGCAACAGUGACACUGGGACUGGGCCCCGGCCCCGACUGGUGCGAGCGGUGGGGAAUAGUGAAAAAGGAGCGCAGGCCUGAUGCAGAGACGCCGCGGGGGGGAUGGCGGUGUUGGGGUUGGAGAUGCCAUGCGCUAUGAACGAGGCUGUUAGUGACGGUACCGAGAGAAUAAGCACCGGCUAACUACGUG
This 465-nucleotide ribosomal RNA is filed under the name uncultured bacterium. RNAcentral's name for it is "partial 16S ribosomal RNA". It matches the Rfam family "Bacterial small subunit ribosomal RNA", at positions 28 to 507 of the family's 1533-position model. The record is from RNAcentral.